GAUGAACGCUGGCGGCGUGCCUAAUACAUGCAAGUCGAGCGAACGGACGAGAAUCUUGCUGGUCGGAUGUUAGCGGCGGGCGGGUGAGUAACACGUGGAUAACCUACCUAUAAGUCUGGGAUCACUUGGGGACACCGGAUCUAAUACCGUAUGAUAUGGUGAACCGCAUGGUUCAGGAGUGAAAGACGGUCUUGCUGUCACUUAGAGAUGGAUCCGCGCUGCAUUAGCUAGUUGGUAAGGUAACGGCUUACCAAGGCAACGAUGCAUAGCCGACCUGAGAGGGUGAUCGGCCACACUGGAACUGAGACACGGUCCAGACUCCUACGGGAGGCAGCAGUAGGGAAUCUUCCGCAAUGGGCGAAAGCCUGACGGAGCAACGCCGCGUGAGUGAUGAAGGUCUUCGGAUCGUAAAACUCUGUUAUUAGGGAAGAACAUAUGUGUAAGUAACUGUGAACAUCUUGACGGUACCUAAUCAGAAAGCCACGGCUAACUACGUG
Molecule: ribosomal RNA, 497 nt
Filed under: uncultured bacterium
Lineage: Bacteria
Description: partial 16S ribosomal RNA
Rfam family: Bacterial small subunit ribosomal RNA
Source: RNAcentral